RNAcentral lists this ribosomal RNA (491 nucleotides) under uncultured bacterium. RNAcentral describes it as "partial 16S ribosomal RNA". It matches the Rfam family "Bacterial small subunit ribosomal RNA", at positions 29 to 506 of the family's 1533-position model. The record is from RNAcentral.
AGUGAACGCUGGCGGUAGGCCUAACACAUGCAAGUCGAACGGCAGCACAGUAAGAGCUUGCUCUUACGGGUGGCGAGUGGCGGACGGGUGAGGAAUACAUCGGAAUCUACUUUUUCGUGGGGGAUAACGUAGGGAAACUUACGCUAAUACCGCAUACGACCUACGGGUGAAAGCAGGGGAUCUUCGGACCUUGCGCGAUUGAAUGAGCCGAUGUCGGAUUAGCUAGUUGGCGGGGUAAAGGCCCACCAAGGCGACGAUCCGUAGCUGGUCUGAGAGGAUGAUCAGCCACACUGGAACUGAGACACGGUCCAGACUCCUACGGGAGGCAGCAGUGGGGAAUAUUGGACAAUGGGCGCAAGCCUGAUCCAGCCAUACCGCGUGGGUGAAGAAGGCCUACGGGUUGUAAAGCCCUUUUGUUGGGAAAGAAAAGCAGCAGGUUAAUACCCCGCUGUUCGGACGGUACCCAAAGAAUAAGCACCGGCUAACUUCGU